RNAcentral lists this ribosomal RNA (441 nucleotides) under uncultured bacterium. RNAcentral describes it as "partial 16S ribosomal RNA". It matches the Rfam family "Bacterial small subunit ribosomal RNA", at positions 338 to 795 of the family's 1533-position model. The record is from RNAcentral.
CCUACGGGAGGCAGCAGUGGGGAAUAUUGGGCAAUGGGCGAAAGCCUGACCCAGCAACGCCGCGUGAAGGAAGAAGGCUUUCGGGUUGUAAACUUCUUUUGACAGGGAAGAGCAGCAGACGGUACCUGUCGCAUAAGCCACGGCUAACUCCGUGCCAGCAGCCGCGGUAAUACGGGGGGUGCAAGCGUUGUCCGGAAUCAUUGGGCGUAAAGCGUUCGUAGGCGGGAUGCCAAGUCAGCGGUAAAAAUGCGGUGCUCAACGCCGUCGAGCCGUUGAAACUGGCGUUCUUGAGUGGGCGAGAAGUAUGCGGAAUGCGUGGUGUAGCGGUGAAAUGCAUAGAUAUCACGCAGAACUCCGAUUGCGAAGGCAGCAUACCGGCGCCCGACUGACGCUGAGGCACGAAAGCGUGGGUAUCGAACAGGAUUAGAUACCCCAGUAGUC